AACGCGAAGAACCUUACCAGGUCUUGACAUCCUCUGACACUCCUAGAGAUAGGACGUUCCCCUUCGGGGGACAGAGUGACAGGUGGUGCAUGGUUGUCGUCAGCUCGUGUCGUGAGAUGUUGGGUUAAGUCCCGCAACGAGCGCAACCCUUGAUCUUAGUUGCCAGCAUUCAGUUGGGCACUCUAAGGUGACUGCCGGUGACAAACCGGAGGAAGGUGGGGAUGACGUCAAAUCAUCAUGCCCCUUAUGACCUGGGCUACACACGUGCUACAAUGGAUGGUACAAAGGGCUGCAAAACCGCGAGGUCGAGCCAAUCCCAUAAAACCAUUCUCAGUUCGGAUUGUAGGCUGCAACUCGCCUACAUGAAGCUGGAAUCGCUAGUAAUCGUGGAUCAGCAUGCCACGGUGAAUACGUUCCCGGGCUUGUA
This 427-nucleotide ribosomal RNA is filed under the name uncultured Bacillota bacterium. RNAcentral's name for it is "bacterial SSU rRNA". It matches the Rfam family "Bacterial small subunit ribosomal RNA", at positions 958 to 1381 of the family's 1533-position model. The record is from RNAcentral. Lineage: Bacteria; Bacillati; Bacillota.